This 686-nucleotide ribosomal RNA is filed under the name uncultured bacterium. Its description in RNAcentral is "bacterial SSU rRNA". It matches the Rfam family "Bacterial small subunit ribosomal RNA", at positions 9 to 694 of the family's 1533-position model. The record is from RNAcentral.
GAGUUUGAUCCUGGCUCAGGACGAACGCUGGCGGCGUGCUUAACACAUGCAAGUCGAACGAGAAUCUGUGGAUCGAGGAUUCGUCCAAGUGAAGCAGAGGACAGUGGCGGACGGGUGAGUAACGCGUGAGGAACCUGCCUUUCAGAGGGGGACAACAGUUGGAAACGACUGCUAAUACCGCAUGAUACAUUUGGGUGGCAUCAUCUGAAUGUCAAAGAUUUAUCGCUGAAAGAUGGCCUCGCGUCUGAUUAGCUGGUUGGUGAGGUAACGGCCCACCAAGGCGACGAUCAGUAGCCGGACUGAGAGGUUGACCGGCCACAUUGGGACUGAGAUACGGCCCAGACUCCUACGGGAGGCAGCAGUGGGGAAUAUUGGGCAAUGGGCGCAAGCCUGACCCAGCAACGCCGCGUGAAGGAAGAAGGCUUUCGGGUUGUAAACUUCUUUUAAGAGGGAAGAGCAGAAGACUGUACCUCUAGAAUAAGCCACGGCUAACUACGUGCCAGCAGCCGCGGUAAUACGUAGGUGGCAAGCGUUGUCCGGAUUUACUGGGUGUAAAGGGCGUGCAGCCGGGAAUGCAAGUCAGAUGUGAAAUCCAUGGGCUUAACCCAUGAACUGCAUUUGAAACUGUAUUUCUUGAGUACUGGAGAGGCAAUCGGAAUUCCUAGUGUAGCGGUGAAAUGCGUAGA